This is a long non-coding RNA of Dermacentor silvarum, 377 nucleotides long. RefSeq lists it as uncharacterized. Lineage: Eukaryota; Metazoa; Arthropoda; Arachnida; Ixodida; Ixodidae. The record is from RefSeq and is a predicted model, not a curated record. The transcript is spliced from 4 exons.
UUAAAACAGAUCUGCUCUCGUGUCUUUGUCAGACUUGCAGCUGUCGUACGACUAACGACUUGGUUGAAUACUCUCAUUGUUUUGCUCAAGGCAACGAAGUCAGGCUCACUGCUAACAUGAGAUUCACGUCUACCUUUUUGCUCCUUGCAGUAUUAGCAGCGUUCCUUGCCAUGAUCACUGCAGCAGAAGACAGACGCGACGACAGGCGCAGUGGAGACGGUCAAGGCACCGGAUGCCCAGACCUCGCUGCCUGCACCCGAAGCUGCCAUCUCAAAGGAUUCGGUGUAGGCGCGUGCGUUGGAGCUCGACUAAUGAUCUGUUUGUGCACCUAAUUUUGAUGGAAGUCCUCCAUUGCUUGGCAAUAAACGUUGCCUAUU